This 434-nucleotide ribosomal RNA is filed under the name uncultured bacterium. RNAcentral's name for it is "partial 16S ribosomal RNA". It matches the Rfam family "Bacterial small subunit ribosomal RNA", at positions 29 to 507 of the family's 1533-position model. The record is from RNAcentral.
AGCGAACGCUGGCGGCAGGCCUAACACAUGCAAGUCCAACGAACCUUUCGGGGUUAGUGGCGGACGGGUGAGUAACACGUGGGAACGUGCCUUUAGGUUCGGAAUAACUCAGGGAAACUUGUGCUAAUACCGAAUGUGCCCUUCGGGGGAAAGAUUUAUCGCCUUUAGAGCGGCCCGCGCCUGAUUAGCUAGUUGGUUGAGGUAAUGGCUCACCAAGGCGACGAUCAGUAGCUGGUCUGAGAGGAUGAUCAGCCACAUUGGGACUGAGACACGGCCCAAACUCCUACGGGAGGCAGCAGUGGGGAAUCUUGCGCAAUGGGCGAAAGCCUGACGCAGCCAUGCCGCGUGAAUGAUGAAGGUCUUAGGAUUGUAAAAUUCUUUCACCGGGGACGAUAAUGACGGUACCCGGAGAAGAAGCCCCGGCUAACUUCGUG